UUUUGAAAUGUCUUACAACACACUGGAUAUUUCUAGUUUCAGACAUUAUUUAAGGGAUCUGCGAACAAGCAGACUAAAGAUGGCUAAAUAGUAACUGCACCCCAUUUAUUAGUUUCAUUUUUGGGGGUAAUGGUUGUAGUUAGUACUUUGAUAGUGCUUGUAGUUUGGGAGGUAAGCCAAGAUGUAACCGAGGAAACUUGCAGAAGCCAGACACAGAGAGAUGGAUGCAGGUUUUCAGGAAGUAAGAGGUCUUUAUUAACAUACCGAUCGGGUCUCCGAUGAACUAACGUUCCAAAAGAGGUCUGAGGGCCGAACACAUGGAGUACAUGCUUUUUAUAGAACUAUAACUCCUCCCAUUAAUAGCUCCACUUGUCCCCCC
Pelobates cultripes (western spadefoot toad) is the source of this 379-nucleotide non-coding RNA. NCBI's taxonomy places the organism in Eukaryota, Metazoa, Chordata, Amphibia, Anura, Pelobatidae. The record is from the annotation of a GenBank genome assembly.